UCUUUCAGAUGAGUGUCCAGAAUGCUGUUGGAGAGUGAGGCAAAACAACUUUGACUACUCCAAGGUUUUGAAAAGAAGAGUGAGAGAGGGAACAGAGGAGGUCCUCAUUUGUUGGGUUCCAUGCAAGACCUGGUAGGUGUACUAAUGUACAGUUUAUUACAUACACAACAUUUUAAACAUUAACAAUGUCAACAGUUACUGAAAUGUUUGAAUAUUUUUUAAUAGUUAUAUUUCAUAAAAUUAUAUAUCAUUUUGCUAGCCUGACUUAAGUUACUCAGUAAAUAUUUACUCAAAACGUUGUCUCUCUACAGUGGGACCAAAUGGAAGGACUCCUGGGAGCCCUCCUCCCUUCUUGAAUAAUGAAUUUAAAUUUUUUUAAAUUUUGUAUUUUUUUUAUAAUGAAUAAAAUAACUACAAACAUAAACAAAGUUAUUGACUUGUUAUUCAUUGCCUAAAUUGUAUAUGCUAUAUAGAGUACAUACAGAUCUUUAGAAAUAACCUAAUUAAAAAUCCUGUGUUAAAUGUCAG
Cyprinus carpio carpio is the source of this 528-nucleotide long non-coding RNA. The record is from Ensembl. Lineage: Eukaryota; Metazoa; Chordata; Actinopteri; Cypriniformes; Cyprinidae.